Molecule: long non-coding RNA, 1089 nt
Organism: Carassius gibelio (silver crucian carp)
Lineage: Eukaryota; Metazoa; Chordata; Actinopteri; Cypriniformes; Cyprinidae
Exons: 4
Source: RefSeq, a predicted model, not a curated record
GCACAGCAAGUGACAACCGCGAAACCGGAAACUGAAACUAGUUUUUUCAUUGGUCGCUGAACUGAGAAGACUUGAUUUAAUGUUUCGUGGUGCUAACUAACUUAGUCUAGAAAUCAGAUUUCGCGUGCAACAAUAGCAGAAAUCGCAAUUCUCGUUCGGAUCGGAUGCGUUGAACACCAGUCUAUUUAAAGGUAUAUCAGUGUGAAAUCAAAAUCUUUCCAAACACCUCCUGGAGACAUAAAUGGCCGGCGACGUUCACACUUGGGGAGUUUUAGAAGCAGAUCAAUGGGUGAGGCAGAGGGUCCAAUCGAUGGAUACAAGUCUAUAUUUUAGGAAAGUUGAUCAGCCUUGGAGGCUGCGUGUUUUCUCUGUGCCUGCAAACACUGUGCGUGUGAAAUACGGCAGACAGAGGAGGAUAGUCACAGAUGAGUUUGAUAUUCUGCUUGAAAAAGGGAUGAAGAGGAUGUGUAACGAUAGACCAGCAUCACAGUCACGGAUACAGCGCUUCAUCUGGAGCCAUCAAGAGUCUGACGCAGACGCAGACGCAGAGAGGAGACACUAAAGGCAAACUAAAGCUUCCCCCAACACUGCAAAUUAUGCACCUUCUUCAGUCUCUGUCUGAUUUCAAGAUGUUUACAAGAAAAUUGCAUAUACGUUAGAUAAAUGACUCAAGCUCUAGACACUUAAAGGUGCUGUCAUUUAUUGACUGUCAUAAAGCUUAAAAGUACCAUGGUAUGUGUGCGGAUAUUUAGGACACAUGCUAAGCUCACAUGAUUGUUGUUUUUGUCUUCUCAAGAAACAACACUACAGCCAGUUAUUCUGCUUCGAAAUGCGUGGUCAGUGACAGAAUGUCUGUUUUUGAUUUGGUCUGUGUGACUCCGCCCACUGCCAAUUCACCCAAUAGGAAUUUAUUCUAAGAAUAGUGUUAUAAAAAUGUCAUUUUUCUGUACCUUUUAAUAUGAAUAAAAACGUAUUAAUCUGAAUGUUUGAUAAAUGUACAGUCCAUAUCUGUAGCACAACUCUCCGUUCCUGUCAUUGUCUCUGUUUCACAGAUAGAUAUAUAAUAAAAAAGAGCUGUUUACUUCUGCA